This 123-nucleotide ribosomal RNA is filed under the name Opisthomonorcheides ovacutus. Its description in RNAcentral is "partial 5.8S ribosomal RNA". It matches the Rfam family "5.8S ribosomal RNA", at positions 33 to 154 of the family's 154-position model. From Rfam's summary of the family: 5.8S ribosomal RNA (5.8S rRNA) is a component of the large subunit of the eukaryotic ribosome. It is transcribed by RNA polymerase I as part of the 45S precursor that also contains 18S and 28S rRNA. Lineage: Eukaryota; Metazoa; Platyhelminthes; Trematoda; Plagiorchiida; Monorchiidae. RNAcentral also lists the same sequence under 2 other names. The record is from RNAcentral.
UGUCGAUGAAGAGCGCAGCCAACUGUGUGAAUUAAUGUGAACUGCAUACUGCUUUGAACAUCGACAUCUUGAACGCACAUUGCGGCCAUGGGUUAGCCUGUGGCCACGCCCGUCCGAGGGUCG